Molecule: RNA transcript, 4206 nt
Organism: Homo sapiens (human)
Lineage: Eukaryota; Metazoa; Chordata; Mammalia; Primates; Hominidae
Gene: CHPF2
Gene name: chondroitin polymerizing factor 2
Exons: 5
Source: RefSeq, marked validated
AGAGGAAGCUGCGGACAGGGGCUGUGAGGUGGCAGCGGCUGCAGCGGCGGAGCCGGCGCCUCAGCGGGCACUGGGGUCUGUUCCCCCUUCCCCGUCCCUGCUCCCUGCCAGGCGCGUGCGGGACGCCGCUCUUGGUCCCCACGCCUCCGCCCCGCCCCCUCCCGGGACGCCGGGAGACCCCGGCCGUCCUUUAUCCGGUGUCCGCCGGCCCCCGGCCCUGAAACCCGGGCCUCCUCCCCGAGGGCCUUGGGCGUCCCUCCUGGUCCUGCGCUCGCGGCCUCGAUGCUGUCUCUGGCGCGGCCUCCGCUCCCGCCGACUGGCCUGAGAACGAGGUCUGUGCCCCAGUCUCCCAGCCGCGACCUCCGACCCCGCCUCGCAGAACGACCCGAGCUGGUCUCCCGAGCCCCCUUCUCAGCAGCCCGGUGACGUGGCCAGUUUAUUUCUGUUUUGAGACGAACGGCGAAGACUCGCGUCGGGUCUUCGUUCUAGGGCUAGACUUGGUCUCUGAUCGCCGAGAGGUAGCGCAGGGGCUGUGGGCCCCCGGCAGGGGUCCUGUCGGAAGCUGGCCGCGCUUCUGUUUGCGUUCCCAGGACCCUGGCAUUGUCUCUAGUUGCUGCUUGUGCUCUCUCUUUGCUUUUGGUUUGCUUCAUUUGGCCCCUGGGGCCCUGGUAAAACCAGGCACCGAAUCGCUCGCACACAGAGUUCCAGUCCCCGCCUGCUGUCUCCUCAGCAGCUGGGGUUCCGAGGAGAAUGCCCUGCAAGAUGGCUCCAUCGGCCAUGGCGCUCCUGAGAGGCUGUCAGUGCUGAGUCACCGAUCUACCUCAUUCGGGUGGGCAGAACUUAUGUGUGCCAUGCGAGUGGCUCCAGACCGCUCCUGAGUGGGAGGAGGGGUUCCUGUAGCCGUUGCGUCUUCUCAAACACGGGGAGCAGAGUAGAAAGAGGCUCUGGCCCCUUCCCUUGUGCCCACCGGGCCUGCCGCAGUGGCUCAGCAGCCCCUUCAGUAGCCCGCCUGAGGACCGAUGCCAGAGGCAGGCAUUCUUCCGGAAAGGCCCACUGAGGCAGGCUCCGGCUCCUCUGGUUGGGGCUGUUGUUUUGAUGGAUCGUGUGCUUUUCCCUUACCUCUUAUCACUUGCUGUCAUCUGUUGACUUAGGCCCAGUCUGCAGAUGUGUGUAGUGUUCCUUUUUGGGUUAGCUUUGGCAGUAUUGAGUUUUACUUCCUCCUCUUUUUAGUGGAAGACAGACCAUAAUCCCAGUGUGAGUGAAAUUGAUUGUUUCAUUUAUUACCGUUUUGGCUGGGGGUUAGUUCCGACACCUUCACAGUUGAAGAGCAGGCAGAAGGAGUUGUGAAGACAGGACAAUCUUCUUGGGGAUGCUGGUCCUGGAAGCCAGCGGGCCUCGCUCUGUCUUUGGCCUCAUUGACCCCAGGUUCUCUGGUUAAAACUGAAAGCCUACUACUGGCCUGGUGCCCAUCAAUCCAUUGAUCCUUGAGGCUGUGCCCCUGGGGCACCCACCUGGCAGGGCCUACCACCAUGCGACUGAGCUCCCUGUUGGCUCUGCUGCGGCCAGCGCUUCCCCUCAUCUUAGGGCUGUCUCUGGGGUGCAGCCUGAGCCUCCUGCGGGUUUCCUGGAUCCAGGGGGAGGGAGAAGAUCCCUGUGUCGAGGCUGUAGGGGAGCGAGGAGGGCCACAGAAUCCAGAUUCCAGAGCUCGGCUAGACCAAAGUGAUGAAGACUUCAAACCCCGGAUUGUCCCCUACUACAGGGACCCCAACAAGCCCUACAAGAAGGUGCUCAGGACUCGGUACAUCCAGACAGAGCUGGGCUCCCGUGAGCGGUUGCUGGUGGCUGUCCUGACCUCCCGAGCUACACUGUCCACUUUGGCCGUGGCUGUGAACCGUACGGUGGCCCAUCACUUCCCUCGGUUACUCUACUUCACUGGGCAGCGGGGGGCCCGGGCUCCAGCAGGGAUGCAGGUGGUGUCUCAUGGGGAUGAGCGGCCCGCCUGGCUCAUGUCAGAGACCCUGCGCCACCUUCACACACACUUUGGGGCCGACUACGACUGGUUCUUCAUCAUGCAGGAUGACACAUAUGUGCAGGCCCCCCGCCUGGCAGCCCUUGCUGGCCACCUCAGCAUCAACCAAGACCUGUACUUAGGCCGGGCAGAGGAGUUCAUUGGCGCAGGCGAGCAGGCCCGGUACUGUCAUGGGGGCUUUGGCUACCUGUUGUCACGGAGUCUCCUGCUUCGUCUGCGGCCACAUCUGGAUGGCUGCCGAGGAGACAUUCUCAGUGCCCGUCCUGACGAGUGGCUUGGACGCUGCCUCAUUGACUCUCUGGGCGUCGGCUGUGUCUCACAGCACCAGGGGCAGCAGUAUCGCUCAUUUGAACUGGCCAAAAAUAGGGACCCUGAGAAGGAAGGGAGCUCGGCUUUCCUGAGUGCCUUCGCCGUGCACCCUGUCUCCGAAGGUACCCUCAUGUACCGGCUCCACAAACGCUUCAGCGCUCUGGAGUUGGAGCGGGCUUACAGUGAAAUAGAACAACUGCAGAACUGUCCCAAGAAAGCCCAAGGGUAGAAGGGAGAAUUCUCAAGUUGAACGUCAGGCUUGGCAGAGGUGGAGUGUAGAUGAAAACAAAGGUGUGAUUAUGAAGAGGAUGUGAGUCCUUUGGGUGUAGGAGAGAAAGGCUGUUGAGCUUCUAUUUCAAGAUACUUUUACCUGUGCAAAAAGCACAUUUUCCACCUCCUUCUCAUGGCAUUUGUGUAAGGCUCAGAUCCGGAACCUGACCGUGCUGACCCCCGAAGGGGAGGCAGGGCUGAGCUGGCCCGUUGGGCUCCCUGCUCCUUUCACACCACACUCUCGCUUUGAGGUGCUGGGCUGGGACUACUUCACAGAGCAGCACACCUUCUCCUGUGCAGAUGGGGCUCCCAAGUGCCCACUACAGGGGGCUAGCAGGGCGGACGUGGGUGAUGCGUUGGAGACUGCCCUGGAGCAGCUCAAUCGGCGCUAUCAGCCCCGCCUGCGCUUCCAGAAGCAGCGACUGCUCAACGGCUAUCGGCGCUUCGACCCAGCACGGGGCAUGGAGUACACCCUGGACCUGCUGUUGGAAUGUGUGACACAGCGUGGGCACCGGCGGGCCCUGGCUCGCAGGGUCAGCCUGCUGCGGCCACUGAGCCGGGUGGAAAUCCUACCUAUGCCCUAUGUCACUGAGGCCACCCGAGUGCAGCUGGUGCUGCCACUCCUGGUGGCUGAAGCUGCUGCAGCCCCGGCUUUCCUCGAGGCCUUUGCAGCCAAUGUCCUGGAGCCACGAGAACAUGCAUUGCUCACCCUGUUGCUGGUCUACGGGCCACGAGAAGGUGGCCGUGGAGCUCCAGACCCAUUUCUUGGGGUGAAGGCUGCAGCAGCGGAGUUAGAGCGACGGUACCCUGGGACGAGGCUGGCCUGGCUCGCUGUGCGAGCAGAGGCCCCUUCCCAGGUGCGACUCAUGGACGUGGUCUCGAAGAAGCACCCUGUGGACACUCUCUUCUUCCUUACCACCGUGUGGACAAGGCCUGGGCCCGAAGUCCUCAACCGCUGUCGCAUGAAUGCCAUCUCUGGCUGGCAGGCCUUCUUUCCAGUCCAUUUCCAGGAGUUCAAUCCUGCCCUGUCACCACAGAGAUCACCCCCAGGGCCCCCGGGGGCUGGCCCUGACCCCCCCUCCCCUCCUGGUGCUGACCCCUCCCGGGGGGCUCCUAUAGGGGGGAGAUUUGACCGGCAGGCUUCUGCGGAGGGCUGCUUCUACAACGCUGACUACCUGGCGGCCCGAGCCCGGCUGGCAGGUGAACUGGCAGGCCAGGAAGAGGAGGAAGCCCUGGAGGGGCUGGAGGUGAUGGAUGUUUUCCUCCGGUUCUCAGGGCUCCACCUCUUUCGGGCCGUAGAGCCAGGGCUGGUGCAGAAGUUCUCCCUGCGAGACUGCAGCCCACGGCUCAGUGAAGAACUCUACCACCGCUGCCGCCUCAGCAACCUGGAGGGGCUAGGGGGCCGUGCCCAGCUGGCUAUGGCUCUCUUUGAGCAGGAGCAGGCCAAUAGCACUUAGCCCGCCUGGGGGCCCUAACCUCAUUACCUUUCCUUUGUCUGCCUCAGCCCCAGGAAGGGCAAGGCAAGAUGGUGGACAGAUAGAGAAUUGUUGCUGUAUUUUUUAAAUAUGAAAAUGUUAUUAAACAUGUCUUCUGCCAAA